GUGGGGAAUAUUGGACAAUGGGCGAAAGCCUGAUCCAGCCAUGCCGCGUGUGUGAAGAAGGUCUUCGGAUUGUAAAGCACUUUAAGUUGGGAGGAAGGGCAGUAAGUUAAUACCUUGCUGUUUUGACGUUACCGACAGAAUAAGCACCGGCUAACUUCGUGUCAGCAGCCGCGGUAAUACGAAGGGUGCAAGCGUUAAUCGGAAUUACUGGGCGUAAAGCGCGCGUAGGUGGUUUUGUAAGUUGGAGGUGAAAUCCACGGGCUCAACCUGGGAACUGCCUCCAAAACUGCAUGACUAGAGUACGGUAGAGGGUAGUGGAAUUUCCUGUGUAGCGGUGAAAUGCGUAGAUAUAGGAAGGAACACCAGUGGCGAAGGCGACUACCUGGACUGAUACUGACACUGAGGUGCGAAAGCGUGGGGAGCAAACAGGAUUAGAAACCCCUAUAGUCC
Molecule: ribosomal RNA, 450 nt
Filed under: uncultured bacterium
Lineage: Bacteria
Description: partial 16S ribosomal RNA
Rfam family: Bacterial small subunit ribosomal RNA
Source: RNAcentral